UACAGAGGUCUCAAGCGUUGUUCGGAUUCAUUGGGCGUAAAGGGUGCGUAGGCGGCGCGGUAAGUCGGGUGUGAAAUCUCGGAGCUUAACUCCGAAACUGCAUUCGAUACUGCCGUGCUUGAGGACUGGAGAGGAGAAUGGAAUUCCUGGUGUAGCGGUGAAAUGCGCAGAUAUCAGGAAGAACACCCGUGGCGAAGGCGGUUCUCUGGGACGGUACUGACGCUGAGACGCGAAAGCGUGGGGAGCGAACAGG
Molecule: ribosomal RNA, 253 nt
Filed under: uncultured bacterium
Lineage: Bacteria
Description: partial 16S ribosomal RNA
Rfam family: Bacterial small subunit ribosomal RNA
Source: RNAcentral